AGUACAUAAGAUAUUGUAGCACACUUUGGUGACUGCAUCUACUGUAUAUGGAGAUCUACCUAGUCACACGACAGACAGAAGGGACUGAAUACAGUUGUACUGUUCUCAUUAAAGGAUUUCUGUCUUUGACCCGGAAGCUCCUGCUGGUCUAUAUAAUGUUCCAAAUCCUCUUCCACUCAUUGGACAACUGUAGUCAAAACCCUUCUCUUGCCAGC
Pelobates cultripes (western spadefoot toad) is the source of this 215-nucleotide non-coding RNA. The record is from the annotation of a GenBank genome assembly. Lineage: Eukaryota; Metazoa; Chordata; Amphibia; Anura; Pelobatidae.